RNAcentral lists this ribosomal RNA (443 nucleotides) under uncultured bacterium. RNAcentral's name for it is "partial 16S ribosomal RNA". It matches the Rfam family "Bacterial small subunit ribosomal RNA", at positions 338 to 795 of the family's 1533-position model. The record is from RNAcentral.
CCUACGGGCGGCAGCAGUGGGGAAUAUUGGUCAAUGGGCGCAAGCCUGACCCAGCAACGCCGCGUGAAGGAAGAAGGCUUUCGGGUUGUAAACUUCUUUUCUCAGGGACGCAGAAAGUGACGGUACCUGAGGAAUAAGCCACGGCUAACUACGUGCCAGCAGCCGCGGUAAUACGGAGGUGGCAAGCGUUAUCCGGAUGUAUUGGGGGUAAAGGUCGUGUAGGGGGGAGCGGAAGUCAGCUGUGAAAACUCAGGGCUCAACCCUGAGCCUGCAUUUGAAACUGUGUUUCUUGAGUGCUGGAGAGGCAAGCGGAAUUCGGGGUGUAGCGGUGAAAUGCGUAGAGAUACGGAGGAACACCAGUGGCGAAGGCGGAUUGCUGGACAGUAACUGACGCUGAGGCGCGAAAGCGUGGGGAGCAAACAGGAUUAGAUACCCCUGUAGUC